This 497-nucleotide ribosomal RNA is filed under the name uncultured bacterium. RNAcentral describes it as "partial 16S ribosomal RNA". It matches the Rfam family "Bacterial small subunit ribosomal RNA", at positions 28 to 507 of the family's 1533-position model. The record is from RNAcentral.
GAUGAACGCUGGCGGCGUGCCUAAUACAUGCAAGUCGAGCGAACAGAUGAGGAGCUUGCUCCUCUGACGUUAGCGGCGGACGGGUGAGUAACACGUGGAUAACCUACCUAUAAGACUGGGAUAACUUCGGGAAACCGGAGCUAAUACCGGAUAAUAUAUUGAACCGCAUGGUUCAAUAGUGAAAGACGGUUUUGCUGUCACUUAUAGAUGGAUCCGCGCCGCAUUAGCUAGUUGGUAAGGUAACGGCUUACCAAGGCAACGAUGCGUAGCCGACCUGAGAGGGUGAUCGGCCACACUGGAACUGAGACACGGUCCAGACUCCUACGGGAGGCAGCAGUAGGGAAUCUUCCGCAAUGGGCGAAAGCCUGACGGAGCAACGCCGCGUGAGUGAUGAAGGUCUUCGGAUCGUAAAACUCUGUUAUUAGGGAAGAACAAAUGGGUAAGUAACUAUGCACGUCUUGACGGUACCUAAUCAGAAAGCCACGGCUAACUACGUG